UGAGUAACCUGCCCUUAACUCUGGGAUAAGCCUGGGAAACUGGGUCUAAUACCGGAUAUGACUCCUCAUCGCAUGGUGGGGGGUGGAAAGCUUUAUUGUGGUUUUGGAUGGACUCGCGGCCUAUCAGCUUGUUGGUGAGGUAAUGGCUUACCAAGGCGA
RNAcentral lists this ribosomal RNA (159 nucleotides) under uncultured bacterium. Its description in RNAcentral is "partial 16S ribosomal RNA". It matches the Rfam family "Bacterial small subunit ribosomal RNA", at positions 118 to 276 of the family's 1533-position model. The record is from RNAcentral.